This 438-nucleotide ribosomal RNA is filed under the name uncultured bacterium. Its description in RNAcentral is "bacterial SSU rRNA". It matches the Rfam family "Bacterial small subunit ribosomal RNA", at positions 8 to 453 of the family's 1533-position model. The record is from RNAcentral.
AGAGUUUGAUCCUGGCUCAGAAUCAACGCUGGCGGCGUGCCUAACACAUGCAAGUCGAACGAGAAAGGGUAGCAAUACCUGAGUACAGUGGCGCACGGGUGAGUAACACGUGACUAACCUACCCUGGAGUGGGGAAUAACUGAGGGAAACCUUAGCUAAUACCGCAUAAUACCUACGGGUCAAAGGAGCAAUUCGCUUCAGGAGGGGGGUCGCGGCCGAUUAGUUAGUUGGCGGGGUAAUGGCCCACCAAGACAAUGAUCGGUAUCCGGCCUGAAAAGGCCCCCGGACCCCCUGGGAAACCUGAAACACGGUUCCAGACUCCUACGGGGAGGCAGCAGUGGGGAAAUUUUGCGCAAUGGGGGAAACCCUGACGCAGCAACGCCGCGUGGAGGAUGAAGUACUUCGGUACGUAAACUCCUUUCGAUCGGGACGAUUAUG